GUCUACGGCCACACCGCCCUGAACGCGCCCGAUCCCGUCUGACCUCGGAAGCUAAGCAGGGUCGGUCCCGGUCAGUACCCGGAUGGGAGACCGCCCGGGAACCCCGGGUGCCGUAGGCU
This 119-nucleotide ribosomal RNA is filed under the name Propithecus coquereli (Coquerel's sifaka). Lineage: Eukaryota; Metazoa; Chordata; Mammalia; Primates; Indriidae. The record is from RNAcentral.